Molecule: long non-coding RNA, 2382 nt
Organism: Vicia villosa (hairy vetch)
Lineage: Eukaryota; Viridiplantae; Streptophyta; Magnoliopsida; Fabales; Fabaceae
Exons: 3
Source: RefSeq, a predicted model, not a curated record
GAAGAGGAGACUUUCCUUCAUUGUAUUCACGAGUGUUGUAUUCUAUAAACAUUUAAUAUUUUUAAGAAUUUUUUUGAGUAAUAUCAUAUUUAAACUUUUAAUAUUUUUAAGAAUUAAGUCUUAAAAUAAACGUCCAUAAAUAUUUUCUAUUUUGUCCGACGUUUUGAUAAUCUACGAAACAAUAUAUCGACCCUACACAUUUUUUAGAUGAAAUUUAGCUAGAUCGAAUUCAAAGUGGACGCUAAGAACCACCAUCCGUGAAGCUGCAUCUCGCAACGCAAGGGGGUUGUGUUGUUGAAAAGAACCACCAUCCGUGAAGCUGCAUCUCGCAACGCAAGGUAUGUGUUAUAUUCUCUAUAUUAUAACCACUCAGCUGUGGAACCCUAAUUAUUUCUAGGAUAUUUUACAAUUGCCUAUAUACAGGGGGUUGUGUUGUUGAAAAUUUUAAAGUUUGAGCAGUAACCCUAGUGGCUAAUAAUUAUAUGCCUAAUAUGCAUGUAAUGGAUCGCAGUUGGAUGUAUGAUAGGUUUAAUCCACAUAGGAGAGGCUUGAAAUUUGAGUUUGUUAGUGGAGUUCAGAAGUUUAGGGUUAAUAGUAAUUCAACCCCUGGAAUGUUGGCGAAUUUUGCUUUUCCCCCUCCCAACCUUUUGGCAACGGUUUUUUCAAAAAAAACGUUGUCAAAACCUGUCUUUGGCAACGGUAGGGGGUAAACCUAAACACGCUCAUAUUACAGCAGGGGGGUAAACAACUAUUAACCCAGAAGUUUAUUAAGAAGGUCAAGGAACAACCCUACUUUUUCUCUGAGAAAAAAUCAAGUGUCCAUGUGAAACGUGCAAGUGUGUAAAGUCUUUCACUCCAAGAGAUGUGAAAGCUCAUUUGUACAAAAGUGGAUUUAAACCAAACUAUUCCAUCUGGACUGAGCACGGAGAACUAGAACAAAAUAGUUCUCCAAUGAAUCAAUCAAAUAGAAGUUAACAUAUGGAGAAGGAUGAGGUUCCUAAAACUCCUCAUAUGGAGUCGUCGGAAGAGGAGGAUCUAAAACUCCUGACAUGGAGGAGUCGGGAGAGGAGGGGAUCCCAACUGCUAGCACAACGCCUACUGCUGCGAUUAAACAGGUCAUCCAGUCCCACUUUCUUGGUCCAUUUCAUUGUUGGAGUGAGAUCCCAGAGGAUGUAAGGGAAUAUUGGUGGAAGUUGUUUGGGGUCAGUUGCAUUUAUUUAAUUUAACUUAUUUAAUUGCUAACUAGUUGCACCUACUUAAUGAUAACUAGUUAGACUCCUUUUAUUUAGGACAAGGUUGCUUGGGAUCCUCAUGCUCACGUGUAUAUCAAAAAGACGUUUUAGUCGAGAGGCGCAAAACGCCUUUCAGAUAUUCUCUCGAAAGUGACGAAGAAAGGGACAAGGCCUCAUUGGAUAUGUGAGGAGGCUUGGAAGGGUCUUAUUGCCCAUUGGGAGGGUGAAGCCUUUCUAAAGAUCUCUACCCAAAAUUAGACAAAUCGGGCUUCAGGUAAAGUGGAGCAGUCCACACCACAGGCCGUAAGGCUCAUGUUGAUGUGGCACUUAGCAUGGCUCAAGAACUAUGAUGAUUUGUUUGAUAGAGGGCAUCCUCACUAUGCUGAUGCCGAUUCGCCAGAUGAGGUCGUACCAAAGCAACAUCAAGUUAACAGGGGACAUCCUCACUAUGACGAAAACGAUUUCAUAGAUAGGGGGGCAUUUUCACUAUGUUGAUGACGAUUUGUCACAUGAGGUCAUACGAAAACAACAUUGGGUUCCAAGGGGACAUCCUCAAUAUGAUGAUGACGAUGAUUUGCUAGAUAGAAGACAUCCUCAUUAUGAUGAUGUUUCACCAGAAGAGGUCUUAUCAAAGCAACGUCAAGCUAAAAGGGGACAUCCUCACUACGACGAUGAUUCGCUAGAUGAGGUCUUACCAAAGUAACAUCAAGCUAAAAGGGGACAUCUUUACCAUGAUGAUGAUUCACAAGCCAGCCGCCGCAAUCGUUACCGUCAUUGAGUUUGAUUUCUUUGAUAUGUAUUUUAUUCUAAGAAUAAAAAGUAUGUGUAUACCUUUAUCUUGGUCUAGACACUGAUAUUCCCAGUCCAGAUUUUGUUCAUCAGAUCAGUUAUUAUAAGCAGCAUAGUCCUAGCCUAUCCAGCAUAAGAAUAUUGUGCAAACUAUAUGGCUCAUGCCCUUCUUUAGGUAUUAUUAGUAUUUCCAAUCUUUUUUUUUUUCAUUUUGACGCUUAAUUAUGUCUCGCUUUGUCAUAUUAUUUAGCACUGACUGUCAUAAUAAUGACAUUACAAUUUAAUUAGCAAUGAGUUUUGUUCUGCUUUUUAAGAUGUUCACUUCUAUGAUCUAUGGAUCAGUUAAGAUUGAAUUAAUUUA